RNAcentral lists this transfer RNA (72 nucleotides) under Chloroflexota bacterium. Its description in RNAcentral is "Chloroflexi bacterium tRNA-Arg". It matches the Rfam family "tRNA". From Rfam's summary of the family: Transfer RNA (tRNA) molecules are approximately 80 nucleotides in length. Their secondary structure includes four short double-helical elements and three loops (D, anti-codon, and T loops). Lineage: Bacteria; Bacillati; Chloroflexota. The record is from RNAcentral. RNAcentral also lists the same sequence under 1 other name.
GGCCCCGUAGCUCAGCGGAUAGAGCAGAGGUUUCCUAAACCUUGUGCGCAGGUUCGACUCCUGUCGGGGCCU